UACGUAGGGGGCAAGCGUUGUCCGGAAUCAUUGGGCGUAAAGAGCGCGCAGGCGGUCGUCCAAGUCGCGUGUGAAAGCCCCCGGCUCAACUGGGGAGGGUCACGCGAUACUGGUCGACUCGAAGGCAGGAGAGGGUAGUGGAAUUCCCGGUGUAGUGGUGAAAUGCGUAGAUAUCGGGAGGAACACCAGUGGCGAAGGCGACUACCUGGCCUGUUCUUGACGCUGAGGCGCGAAAGCUAGGGGAGCAAACGGG
RNAcentral lists this ribosomal RNA (253 nucleotides) under uncultured bacterium. RNAcentral's name for it is "partial 16S ribosomal RNA". It matches the Rfam family "Bacterial small subunit ribosomal RNA", at positions 524 to 776 of the family's 1533-position model. The record is from RNAcentral.